GCCGGCAGCCAUAUCACCCUGCAGCCCAAGCCUGGUUGCCCACUGAAGCUAAGCAGGGCUGAGCCUGGUCAGUACCUGGAUGGGAGACCUCCUGGGAAAACUAGGUUGCUGCUGGAA
Molecule: ribosomal RNA, 117 nt
Filed under: Sinocyclocheilus anshuiensis
Lineage: Eukaryota; Metazoa; Chordata; Actinopteri; Cypriniformes; Cyprinidae
Source: RNAcentral